Molecule: long non-coding RNA, 1409 nt
Filed under: Medicago truncatula (barrel medic)
Lineage: Eukaryota; Viridiplantae; Streptophyta; Magnoliopsida; Fabales; Fabaceae
Description: lncRNA gene6206
Source: RNAcentral
UUUUUUUGGACUGCGUAGUUGUUAUCAAUGCCUUUUUCUUUUUCGGACAUUACUAUGUUGAUUGAUUAACUCCAUCAUCUCUCUUCUUCUCUUGUCCUAAAUAAUUCAUACAUUCAAUUUCAUCUACUAAUUGUCCUUCCAAUUUGUUUGACUAAACAUAGAUGAAAAUACAGUCACCUCAUUCACAUUUUCUUUAUUCAUUAUUGAAUCCAAACCACAUGCAGGAUCUAAAAUUAAACUGUAGAUCCAAACAACUAAAAACUAAAUCCACUUAAUUGUAAACUUAAGCAUCAACAGUGUCCUGUGAUUCAGCAGAAGCCAAAAUAAGCUCUGGUUCACUUGCAGAUUCACAUGUUCCAUCAAUUGCAUUGUUCCUCCCCAAUGCCUUCAAUGCCAAAUGUGCAGCUUUCUGUCCUGAUAUCAUCAUUGCCCCAAAUGUUGGACCCUACAAACCAACAAAAUCGUUAGCACAUCUCAAUCAAAUGUUCCUUAUCAUCUCCAAAUAGCAUCAAAACCAACCAAUAUGCAGUUGAAAAAAAUAUCUAACCCCCACCCCCCAAUAUCGAUUUCCAGAUUACUUUAAAUCACUUUCUAAAUCAUAAUUGCACAAACAAGGCUAUAAACCAAAAAUGUACACCUCAUAAGACCUCUUUAGAUAAACAGUUUAAUUAACUGCCGAUCGCAUAAACAAUUAUUAUAUACGCAAGUGUUUGGCUCUGUAAGCUAAGCUAUUUCUAUCGCAAAAGAUAAAAUAAAAUUGUUUUCUUAUAACCUAUAAAUUGUUUUCAUAAGUCAUCCCAAAUAGUUCCAUGAAACUUAUUACACCGCAUAAGCUCAAAUAAGUCGAUCCAAAUAGGUCUAAGUAUCAACUAUUUCUCUAACAAAAGAUAAAUCAAACGAUAUAGUAUAAACUAUAAACUAUUUUCAAAAGUUAUUAUUCACAAAUACUUAUAUGUCACUAUACAAGUUCAAAUAAUUCAAUCCUAAGAGGCCUAACUCAAUAUCACAAACGCAAAAAAAAAAUAAAAAAAUUAAGCUUGUGGCUAAAUAAUUGAAAUAAAAAAGCUUACCAUUCUUGGGGCACCAUCAAUUUCAGCAACUUCCAUACCAGUAACAAUCAUACCAGGAACAACUUCCCUUGUAAGACGAACAAUAGCAUCUUCAGCAGUAUUCAUAUCAAGUGCUUUCAUUCCAGGAACAUGAUCAAUCAUGCCAAUACUCUUCAACCUCUUAACACCAGUAGCACCAAAAGGACCAUCAUGUCCACAAGAACUCACAACAACCUUAGCUUCCAUAACAUUAGGAUCCAUGCAAGAUUGUGUAUCAUGGUUCAUCGAAACCAAAGCCCAGUUUGUAACAACACCAGCAACUCUGUUUUCCUUCACAAUCAAAUCCUCAGCAGCAACAGC